GGGGAUGCACUGGCUUCGACGGGGGUUGCGAAAUCGUCUGGCGCAUGCCGAGGGGGUAGCUUUCCUCGCUAAUCCAGCUGCAAAACUCAUAGUUGCCAACGACGACAA
This 108-nucleotide transfer-messenger RNA is filed under the name Lysobacteraceae bacterium. RNAcentral describes it as "partial transfer-messenger RNA". It matches the Rfam family "transfer-messenger RNA", at positions 1 to 106 of the family's 374-position model. Rfam says of the family: Bacterial tmRNA, also known as 10Sa RNA or SsrA, is named for its dual tRNA and mRNA-like properties. Its role is to liberate the mRNA from a stalled ribosome. To accomplish this part of the tmRNA is used as a reading frame that ends in a translation stop signal. The record is from RNAcentral. Lineage: Bacteria; Pseudomonadati; Pseudomonadota; Gammaproteobacteria; Lysobacterales; Lysobacteraceae.